This 248-nucleotide ribosomal RNA is filed under the name uncultured Lachnospiraceae bacterium. Its description in RNAcentral is "partial 16S ribosomal RNA". It matches the Rfam family "Bacterial small subunit ribosomal RNA", at positions 524 to 771 of the family's 1533-position model. Lineage: Bacteria; Bacillati; Bacillota; Clostridia; Lachnospirales; Lachnospiraceae. The record is from RNAcentral.
UACGUAGGGGGCAAGCGUUAUCCGGAUUCACUGGGCGUAAAGGGAGCGUAGACGGCCAUGCAAGCCUGGAGUGAAAGCCCGGGGCCCAACCCCGGGACUGCUCUGGGAACUGGCGGACUAGAGUGCGGGAGGGGUAAGCGGAAUUCCUAGUGUAGCGGUGAAAUGCGUAGAUAUUAGGAGGAACACCGGUGGCGAAGGCGGCCUGCUGGACCGCGACUGACGUUGAGGCUCGAAAGCGUGGGGAGCAA